GACGAACGCUGGCGGCGUGCUUAACACAUGCAAGUCGAACGGUAAGGCCCUUUCGGGGGUACACGAGUGGCGAACGGGUGAGUAACACGUGAGUAACCUGCCCUUGACUCUGGGAUAACAGUUGGAAACAGCUGCUAAUACCGGAUAUUCAACCCUUGGCGCAUGUUGGGGGUUGGAAAGUUCCGGCGGUCAGGGAUGGACUCGCGGCCUAUCAGCUUGUUGGUGAGGUAAUGGCUCACCAAGGCUUCGACGGGUAGCCGGCCUGAGAGGGCGACCGGCCACAUUGGGACUGAGAUACGGCCCAAACUCCUACGGGAGGCAGCAGUGGGGAAUAUUGCACAAUGGGCGAAAGCCUGAUGCAGCAACGCCGCGUGCGGGAUGACGGCCUUCGGGUUGUAAACCGCUUUCAUCCAUGACGAAGCUUUUUGUGACGGUAGUGGAAGAAGAAGCACCGGCUAACUACGUG
RNAcentral lists this ribosomal RNA (466 nucleotides) under uncultured organism. Its description in RNAcentral is "bacterial SSU rRNA". It matches the Rfam family "Bacterial small subunit ribosomal RNA", at positions 28 to 507 of the family's 1533-position model. The record is from RNAcentral.